UCUGAAACGCAGCGUGGAUACAGAGAAGCUGACGUUUCAGA
This is a non-coding RNA of Xiphophorus maculatus (southern platyfish), 41 nucleotides long. Lineage: Eukaryota; Metazoa; Chordata; Actinopteri; Cyprinodontiformes; Poeciliidae. The record is from Rfam.